GUGCUCACUUCGGCAGCACAUAGACUAAAACUGGAACAAUACAGAGAAGAUUAGCAUGGCCCUGUGCAAGGAUGACACACAAAUUCACGAAGUGUUCCAUAUUUUU
Tupaia belangeri (northern tree shrew) is the source of this 106-nucleotide small nuclear RNA. The record is from Ensembl. NCBI's taxonomy places the organism in Eukaryota, Metazoa, Chordata, Mammalia, Scandentia, Tupaiidae.